This 855-nucleotide ribosomal RNA is filed under the name Triticum aestivum (bread wheat). RNAcentral's name for it is "partial small subunit ribosomal RNA". Lineage: Eukaryota; Viridiplantae; Streptophyta; Magnoliopsida; Poales; Poaceae. The record is from RNAcentral.
AUGGAUGUCCAGAAUGUACAAACUAAGGAAAAAGUAGCCGCAGCUUAUACCAAGGGACGAUAUUUCUUGGGUAUGCAGAGCAACCAGCGUAGUGAGAGUCUGAACUCUAGGCUCCACAAUCAUCUCGACCGGAAAAUGUCGUUGGUUGAUGUGGUGGAGCACACUGAGCACUGCAUAUCACGUAUGCGGAGGAAUGGGGCCGAGUUGGAUGCAAUAUAUUCACAGUCAGUUCCUUUCACUAGAAUAGAUGCUUGUUUGUUGGAGAUAAAUGAUGCUCGUAUUUAUACACCAAAAUUUUUCAAGAUGGUAAGAGAUUGUAUCCGAAGAUCAUGUGCAUGGGUGAUUCAAGAGCAAACAACAGUAAAUGACUUGGUCAGGUAUGAAGUAGUGUUAAAAGAUGGAGCGGAAGGAGGGAGCAGACGUCUGUUCUCUGUAGAGUGUUCUUUUGAUGGUUCGUUGAUGAAUGGUGCCUUCUGUCCUUACCGUAAGAUGGAGUGCGAAGCCAUCCCUUGCACGCACAUUUUUUAUGUUCUGGUUUUCGUAGGGGCAGCGACCAUUCCUCCAUGUUAUGUUAGCAAAAGGUGGACAAUGGAAGCCAAGGCUGCAUUCGUGUCAGUGAGAAAUGCAAAUACACAUGUGUGGUCAGAAGAGAUGAGUCGUUACAGUGAACUGAGAAACAUAGCUAGUAUUGCCCUAUUCAAAGUAUCAAAAAGCGGGGAGCGCUCGCAGCAGGUGAAAGAUUAUCUCCAAAGCAUCAUCGAUGGGCCCAUCGAGAAUGAUGAUAACACCGAGGAGACAACAUUUGGUCUUAUACCCUCUCACUACUCUGCCGCAAGCCAAGCUUCAGCGGAGUGA